This is a long non-coding RNA of Gavialis gangeticus (Gharial), 3952 nucleotides long. RefSeq lists it as uncharacterized. The transcript is spliced from 2 exons. NCBI's taxonomy places the organism in Eukaryota, Metazoa, Chordata, Crocodylia, Gavialidae. The record is from RefSeq and is a predicted model, not a curated record.
GCUGAUGGUGCUUUUGCAAAUAUCAUUUCCCUUGCUGAUUCUAGAAAGAAGGGUUAGAUUUCUUUUCACCAGAUCAGAGAGAUUCUGCAGUAGGCAGAUCUCCCAGGAGGAUCUCCACAGCUUCUCCAAACCAACUUGUUCAAAAAGACACCUACAACGUGAUCUUAGCAUUUGUGGCACAUACUCCGUUUAAUCCAGAUUGGAUACAUCAGGUACAGCAGUGGCACAAGACUCAAUACUGUAAAUGAUAUACAAGUUGCAACAUAUGCACUACAAUUCAAAAAGAAGACGACAAGAAACUCAGAGUUCUUCAGAAAGUUGUUCUCAAAUGAAUCUACCUGCAAUUUUGUACAGUACAUUUUUGUAUCGGUCAUUUUGUGAUGUUGGUAAGCAAAGCCCAUUUAUAGUACCAAAAUAGAAAAUAAUAAGGUCGAGAGAAUUUCUCGUAACAACAUAAAACCUCUAAAGAAAACACCAUUGCAUUGGAAUGUCUCGCUUAUUAUCAAAAAUAUACCAUCACACGCGCUUUGUAAAAUAUUUCAUUGGUCCGAGGAGCCAGCUGGAACUCCGGUCAUAGUUGCAACAGAACUGAGAGGAGCGCUCAGUAUGGUUAUUAACCUCUCACCCACGCAGAUAUGUAGCCUGCUUUGACUAGCACUAGUUGAAAAUGAGAGGAAGCGUGCACGCACGCACACGCAUAUACAUACAAAAAUAACAAACUAUUGACUGAAGACGAGACUUGGCAGGAAUUUUUCACAAAUUAGUUAUCAUUUGGUCUUGUUGACUGAUCAACCUGAAAUCUUUCUGGCACAGUGUUGUUACCUCGAAUGUGUGUAAUAAUACUUCUCCCUUCUCUAGCGCCUUUCAGGUGAGGGUUGCUAAAGAACAGGCUGCUGAAUUGAGCUUCUCUGUAUUCCUGAGAAUCAGGGAAGCAUUUUCAUCCACACUUACCCCUGGGUAAACAGGGUUAAAAUGGGGAUGUGUGACCUUUUCCAGAUCACUUACCCAUCUGCAAAAAAGCCAAGGACAGGACCUAGGUAUUUUGCUUCUAACCCUUCCCCAGAUCUCAUCAGGAAACAACACUGCUGCUCAUUAUUCUUCCCGAGACCCUAAAAGGAAAUCAUCAUUUGGAAGGAAGUUUGACUAUUGUUUUAUGGCAUGGUUAACUGUAAAGCCUAGCACCUGAGUUACAAAAUCACAAAUCCAGUGCAGUUGAUUAAAACUUUAAAGAACAAAACAUUAUUUGCUUGUCAAUUAGAGCAUUUAACUAGCAACAGGGCUGGCUAGAGAAGUGGGGAAUGAUUUUUGAUAAUUCACAACCACAAGGGAAAAUUUAGUAUGUGAAAAAGUGUCAAUAUUUUUAAACUAGCUUUAAACUUGGAAUUAAGGCCCUCUGUUCAGAAGCUUUGCUGCUUGGGUGCUACUGGAUGCCUAUUUGCAGCUUCACCUCAGUCUAAUAUAGAUUGUAGCAUAUUGCCUUGUUCAAGGGGGCACUGCAAACUAUUGGCUAAAUGUGAUUUUUUUUUUUUUUUAAGGUCCUCAGCCAGCUUUAGAACAAGUGCAAUGGACAGCGCAUUUGCCCUGUGUCUACUUUUGCAACAGCCGUGCUUCUCCAGUGGGUCCAUUCCUGCUGUUUCGCCUCCUCCCCCCAGGAAUACAUCCUCUGGGAUUCUGGACUUCCUGCUGCAAGAAGAGUGACAGAAGCAGAAGGAGCCAGUUCUGUGUCCUCUCUUCGGGGGUAAAUGCCUGCAGUGCAUUUCCUGAGCCUAUCUGUGCAAACGCUUUUUCUCCUGCAACUGCAGAGCUUGUACCUCUCCUACUCCUUGGUGAAGCAGCUCUCCUUUCUCUGCGUAGCACUCUGGGAAGCUGCGUUAUAGGUAGCACACCAACCCCUGAUCCAUACUACUAUUUCACUGAGGGAGAACAAACCUGGCCUCUGGUGCCUGCGAGUGCAGAGAUUUGCCUUGGGGAAACAUCCUUUGGUCCUGCUCAGUGAAGUGUUAACCAGAGGCCCAGCCUCCUUUAAAAGCUGGCUUUGCCUUACACUGCUGGAAUCGAGUCUCAUGGAUUUUCCCCUCCUUGUUCUUCACAAGGCUUCCUGCUGAACCAGAGACUGAGUGUGGUGGCACCUGCCAAUGCAAGGGCAGAACAGUUAAUUGCAUGUUUCUCAUUAAGAAGGAUCUCUCCUGUUCAGAUUGCAGCAAAGGCAGGACAGCCCAAUCUGACCAGGCAAAGAGGGGCUGCAGCCACUGUGUCCUGCUCUUCUUGAUGAAGCCACUGGCAACAAGAACGGUGAAUUUCCAGAAAAGCAAUUAAGUGCCCUGACAGGACUUGAGGUAGGGACAGUCAUUAUCAUUCUCCUAUAGGUGCAUAUCAGGGGAACAUUUCACUCAUGCUUUGACUAGGUGCAAACGGCAGCAAGUUGCUGGAGAUUUGGCCCCCUGCUCCACAGAGCUAACAAUGGCCAGGAGCGGACAAUGAGGUGUAAUGAGGGGCAGUGAAAUUCAGCCAAGAAAGCACAGGUUGGAUGUAGCCUAAAGAAACCCUGCUGCAGAAGAAACAGAAGCAUCAAGAAAGCCCAGUGCCCAAGUUGUUUGGAACAGUCUUGGAGAGAAGGUACCAAGGGGAGCUCUGCAGCCCUGAGACAAAUGACCGUCAGCUGGUGCCAUUACCACAAACUUGGCUGUAGCCUUAUCAUUCCUAGAAUGGUGUAAGUUUCUAAGGAGGUUACUGCGCUAGCCCAUCAGCUUUCAGCAUCCACAUUACACAGAGGAAUUGGCCAAGGAUGCCGGCCAGGUAAGGUUGAUAGUUUGUAUUUUGAAAUUGGUAUGUCUCUAGCUAGCUGUGUGACAGUGGUAUAUAUUUUGGGAGAUAUAUAAAGAGGCACGAGGUAUAAAUUAUAUAGAAUGAUGCAAGGGGAUAUAAUUGGGAGUAAUGGCAUGAAAAGUAAGGGAAGAAGAAUUACCCUUUGCCUUCCAGAAUCCCUCACAGUGCUACAAAGGGUAGUGUGUCAGUAAAAUUGCUAUUUACUCUUUGGCGAAAGGAAAACUCAAAAUGCCUCCUAACUGUCCGCAGCCUGUCAGCUCCAUGGGGCAGGAUUUGUGUCUGACCGUGUGUUUGUACAGCCCCUACCACAACAAGGCCACAAUCAUCCUUGGAUCUGUUGGGCACAUGUAUGACGCUCGAGAAGACUUCACGCUGUAUCUGAGGGCAACGCAGUAAUCACACGAAGGUGACCUACCUCAUUGUUAAGUGAGGUUACUGAACUGCGCUUGUGGGGGAUCUAAGGAGGGCAAAGUAAGAAAUGAUUUUCUCUUCGUUUUCCCUAGAGGAUAACAUUAAGUUGAAAACGAGCCCAAGAAAGAUCUCAGAGAGAACAGUCAGUGUUCGCCACAGGACGAGUUAGAUGUAUUUGCUGUUCGUGGCAGUACCACGCAGAGAUAUGGUUUUUGACUGAUUAAAAAGCAUGUGACUUUACCCAGACUCUUGAGUAGAGCUGCAAAGGAAAGCUCUGUCUGUACCACCCCAUCUCAAAUGUAUUCCAACCCUCCAUACCACUCCUCCUUGCAUGGUCACAUGUGGUAGCUCCUGUGCUGGGAUGAAAGAACUAAAAUUGCUAACCUAGUUUGCCUCCUAAGCCAAUGCAACCCAGAAGCCACUGGCUAAACCGAUUGGAGCCAUGGGACUGGGCAAAAAAAGCCAAACACCCUGUCAGUCCGUGCAAGAUGGUCGGCUCCAGGGUUAAUUUUAUCAAGCAUCGAUCCAGACACUCAGUGGCUACUAUUUACAAUGGGCUGCAUAUAUAUAUUUAUAUAUAAAUAAAAGAAAUGGAAAAGCAUGGGUAUAGAUUACAGAGUACGUUCUGUCGGACUCAUGGACACCCAGUGCAGUUGAGUUUAGUGCUUUCGCCUUCUUUGCUAUUUGUGUGCACAGGAUUAAAAAAAAAAAAAAA